Non-coding RNA from Pelobates cultripes (western spadefoot toad), 1847 nucleotides. NCBI's taxonomy places the organism in Eukaryota, Metazoa, Chordata, Amphibia, Anura, Pelobatidae. The record is from the annotation of a GenBank genome assembly.
CAAACGUUCAAAAUCAGCAGGGCAUCAAAUACUUUUCCCCCUCACUGUAUGCAAAUGCAGGAGCCUAUGUGGGCAUGGCCAAUGUGUGUGAAUGCAGGGGCCUCUGUGUUCAGAGUAUCAUUCCAUAUGAAUAAAAAAGCAAGAGUGCAGAUUGUGUUGUGUGAAUGCAGGGACAUAUGUAUAAAGUGUAAAGAGAGAAGAGACAGAAUAAAGAAGAGAGAAGGGACAGAAUAAAGAGAUAAGAGACAAAAUAAAGAGAGAAGGGACAGAAUAAAGAGAGAAUGGACAUAAGUAAGAGAUCUGAGGCAGAAAGAGAGAAUGGACAGAAUAAAGAGAGAAGAGACCGAAUAAAGAGAGAAGGGACAGAAUAAAGACUGAAGGGACAGAGUAAACAGAGAAGGGGCAGAAUAAAGAAGAGAGAAGGGACAGAAUAAAGAGAGAAGGGACAGAGUAAAGAGAGAAGGGACAGAAUAAAGAGAGAAGGGACAGAAUAAAGAGAGAAGGGACAGAAUAAAGAGAGAAGGGACAGAGUGAAGAAGAGAGAGAAUAAAGAGUGAAGGGACAGAAUAAAGAAGAGAGAAGGGACAGAAUAAAGAGAGGAGACACAAAAUAAAGAGUGAAGAGACAAAAUAAAGAGAGACGGGACAGAAUAAAGAGAGAAGGGACAGAAGUAAGAGAUCUGAGGCAGAAAGAGAGAAGGGACCGAAUAAAGAGAGGAGACCGAAUAAAGAGAGAAGGGACAGAAUAAAGACUGAAGGGACAGAGUAAACAGAGAAGGGGCAGAAUAAAGAAGAGAGAAGGGACAGAGUAAAGAGAGAAGGGACAGAAUAAAGAGAGAAGGGACAGAGUGAAGAAGAGACAGAAUAAAGAGUGAAGGGACAGAAUAAAGAAGAGAGAAGGGACAGAAUAAAGAGAGGAGACACAAAAAGAGUGAAGAGACAAAAUAAAGAGAGAAGGGACAGAAUAAAGAGAGAAGAGACAGAAUAAAGAGUGAAGGGACAGAAUAAAGAGAGAAGGGACAGAAUAAAGAGAGAAGGGACAGAAUAAAGAAGAGACAGAAUAAAGAGAAAAGAGACAAAAUAAACAGUGAAGGGACAGAAUAAAGAGUGAAGGGACAGAAGUAAUUGAUCUGAGACAGAAAGAGAGAAGGGACAGAAUAAAGAAGAGAUAGAAUAAAGAGAGAAGGGACAGAGUAAAGAGUGAAGGGACAGAAUAAAGAGUGAAGGAACAGAAUAAAGAGGGAAGAGACAAAAUAAAGAGAGACGGGACAGAAUAAAGAGAGAAGGGACAGAAGUAAGAGAUCUGAGGCAGAAAGAGAGAAGGGACCGAAUAAAGAGAGAAGGGACCAAAUAAAGAGAGAAGGGACAGAGUGAAGAAGAGACAGAAUAAAGAGUGAAGGGACAGAAUAAAGAAGAGAGAAGGGACAGAAUAAAGACUGAAGGGACAGAGUAAACAGAGAAGGGGCAGAAUAAAGAAGAGAGAAGGGACAGAGUAAAGAGAGAAGGGACAGAAUAAAGAGAGAAGGGACAGAAUAAAGAGAGAAGGGACAGAGUGAAGAAGAGACAGAAUAAAGAGUGAAGGGACAGAAUAAAGAAGAGAGAAGGGACAGAAUAAAGAGAGGAGACACAAAAUAAAGAGUGAAGAGACAAAAUAAAGAGAGAAGGGACAGAAUAAAGAGAGAAGAGACAGAAUAAAGAGUGAAGGGACAGAGUAAAGAGAGAUGGGACUGAAUAAAGAAGUGAGAAGGGACAGAGUAAAGAGAGAAGGGACAGAAUAAAGAGAGAAGGGACAGAAUAAAGAGAGAAGGGACAGAAUAAAGAAGAGACAGAAUAAAGAGAGAAGAGACA